This is a non-coding RNA of Camelina sativa (false flax), 520 nucleotides long. Lineage: Eukaryota; Viridiplantae; Streptophyta; Magnoliopsida; Brassicales; Brassicaceae. The record is from RefSeq and is a predicted model, not a curated record.
AAAACAGGGCUACUUUCAAUUGCUCUUUUCCUGCAUUGAGAAGCUACUCUCAUUCCUUAAUGUUGAAAGCAUCGUGGUUCCAGCAGCUGAAGAGGCAGAGUCCUUAUGGAUGAACAAAUUUGGGUUCAGAAAACUUGUACCUGAACAGCUCAGCAAGUACAUAAAGACGUGCUACCAAAUGGUGAGGUUCAAAGGAUCAUCCAUGCUGCAGAAACCAGUGCACUCGCACCAAGUCGUUGACAAUAAGAUCGAAACCGGUGUAUCUUUAGAAGAAAAUUUUGAUUUGAAACAACCCAAUGAGUUGUAUGUACAUCCUUUGUGUUGAGGUAAAUCAAGUCAUGUAUUUGGUUAAAGAUGGAUUUGAAGAGUGAAGGGUUUAGGAGGUUUUUAAUUAGUUCUUACAACAAAAUCUGUGUAAAUUUUGUAGAUGCGGAGCUGUUUUUUGGUUACAUAUUAGGUUCACAUUUCUUACAAAGAAGAAUGUUUUUGUUUGGAUAUAUCAUGAUCGUUACUUUCUUUA